CCUACGGGAGGCUGCAGUGAGGAAUAUUGGUCAAUGGACGAGAGUCUGAACCAGCCACGUAGCGUGAAGGAUGACUGCCCUAUGGGUUGUAAACUUCUUUUAUAUGGGAAUAAAACGUUCCACGUGUGGGAUUUUGUAUGUACCAUAUGAAUAAGGAUCGGCUAACUUCGUGCCAGCAGCCGCGGUAAUACGGAGGAUCCGAGCGUUAUCCGGAUUUAUUGGGUUUAAAGGGAGCGUAGGUGGAUUGUUAAGUCAGUUGUGAAAGUUUGCGGCUCAACCGUAAAAUUGCAGUUGAAACUGGCAGUCUUGAGUACAGUAGAGGUGGGCGGAAGUCGUGGUGUAGCGGUGAAAUGCUUAGAUAUCACGAAGAACUCCGAUUGCGAAGGCAGUUCACUGGACUGCAACUGACACUGAGGCUCGAAAGUGUGGGUAUCAAACAGGAUUAGAUACCCUGGUAGUC
This 460-nucleotide ribosomal RNA is filed under the name uncultured bacterium. RNAcentral describes it as "partial 16S ribosomal RNA". It matches the Rfam family "Bacterial small subunit ribosomal RNA", at positions 338 to 795 of the family's 1533-position model. The record is from RNAcentral.